Molecule: long non-coding RNA, 144 nt
Organism: Ornithodoros turicata
Lineage: Eukaryota; Metazoa; Arthropoda; Arachnida; Ixodida; Argasidae
Exons: 3
Source: RefSeq, a predicted model, not a curated record
AGCUCUUGCAGGUGCCUCUGGACAUGCACAAAGAGAGAAAAACGCAACGAGGCAAGAUUUCAAAAGAGGUCAUUGAAGAGUACAAGAAGAAACUCGCGGAGAAAAUCGCUGAAUCCGGAGUUGCAAACAAAGAGCAGGCCAUGA